CCUCCCCUGAAGCGUCUCACCCCGUCCCACACCGGGCCAGGGCGCGGACAG
Molecule: unclassified non-coding RNA, 51 nt
Filed under: Sorangium cellulosum So ce56
Lineage: Bacteria; Pseudomonadati; Myxococcota; Polyangiales; Polyangiaceae
Description: sce_Antizyme_FSE_4
Source: RNAcentral